RNAcentral lists this ribosomal RNA (718 nucleotides) under uncultured bacterium. RNAcentral describes it as "bacterial SSU rRNA". It matches the Rfam family "Bacterial small subunit ribosomal RNA", at positions 771 to 1501 of the family's 1533-position model. The record is from RNAcentral.
AACAGGAUUAGAUACCCUGGUAGUCCACACAGUAAACGAUGAAUACUCGCUGUUUGCGAUAUACAGUAAGCGGCCAAGCGAAAGCAUUAAGUAUUCCACCUGGGGAGUACGCCGGCAACGGUGAAACUCAAAGGAAUUGACGGGGGCCCGCACAAGCGGAGGAACAUGUGGUUUAAUUCGAUGAUACGCGAGGAACCUUACCCGGGCUUAAAUUGCAGUGGAAUGAUGUGGAAACAUGUCAGUGAGCAAUCACCGCUGUGAAGGUGCUGCAUGGUUGUCGUCAGCUCGUGCCGUGAGGUGUCGGCUUAAGUGCCAUAACGAGCGCAACCCUUAUCUUCAGUUACUAACAGGUUAUGCUGAGGACUCUGGAGAGACUGCCGUCGUAAGAUGUGAGGAAGGUGGGGAUGACGUCAAAUCAGCACGGCCCUUACGUCCGGGGCUACACACGUGUUACAAUGGGGGGUACAGAAGGCAGCUAGCGGGUGACCGUAUGCUAAUCCCAAAAGCCUCUCUCAGUUCGGAUCGAAGUCUGCAACCCGACUUCGUGAAGCUGGAUUCGCUAGUAAUCGCGCAUCAGCCAUGGCGCGGUGAAUACGUUCCCGGGCCUUGUACACACCGCCCGUCAAGCCAUGGAAGCUGGGGGUGCCUGAAGUUCGUGACCGCAAGGAGCGACCUAGGGCAAAACCGGUGACUGGGGCUAAGUCGUAACAAGGUAACC